CUUUCCAAUCCAGUGUUUUUGAACUCAGCAUAAAAAGGAUAAGCCGGCUUCUCAACAAUGGAUUCAAGAGUAUCAUAAACCAACUUGCUAUCCACCAAAAACCUCAAGUACCCCUCAACAGAAGGCUCCCAUUUGGGGACAGCCUGCUCCUCUGGCUUCUCAACCUCCUUCUCCCCUUCUUUAGCCUGCUCCCUGGUAUGCAACUUCAUCGCUACAAACCUCAUCUCCUCCACAAACCCCUUAGCCUCUCCUGGGUAGCGCUUUUUAGGUUUCUCCGCAGUGGUGGCGGAAACAACAGCAGCAGCUUUCAUGGGCAUAUUCACAAUUCUCAGAGAGAGAGGGAAUUGAAACUGAAAAGAAACUCUUUUGGGUAUAAAAAUGGAUUGGAAAUUAUCAGUCGAAAGAGAGUGACAUGGGGAAACUUGGAGGUGGGUUUUGUUAAAUAAAGAUUGGGAUUGAGUGAUUGGAUUAAGAGAAACCAUUUUGUCGACACAGAGCUAGAAAAUAGUUGAACCCUAAAAAAAAAGAGUAUAGAAUUGGAUAGAGAAAGAGUAUACGUCACCCUUAGAAUGAAAGAAGAAUAAGAAAACACACGAAGAAAAAAUACCAGUGAUAAAGAAAGUGUUGAAAGUGUAUUUGGCUUGUAAUAGCAGCUAAAGUAGGCUUGAAGACAAAGCGAGUGCUUAAACUAAUGGAAGAAAGAGAAUAAAUAAUCGAGUAUGGGCAAUGGGAUUCCUGUUUCUUGCGUUUUUAUCAUUGAAAAUGGAGUUUUUAUAGGUUAUCUAGCGCUCGAUGAUGUGCAAGAAAUUGAUGAUGACGAUGAUUAUUUGGUUACUGUUUAUUGAGGAAGAGUUUUGAUGUUGAAUUCGUUUAUUG
This 876-nucleotide unclassified non-coding RNA is filed under the name Hevea brasiliensis (rubber tree). The record is from RNAcentral. Lineage: Eukaryota; Viridiplantae; Streptophyta; Magnoliopsida; Malpighiales; Euphorbiaceae.